RNAcentral lists this long non-coding RNA (830 nucleotides) under Homo sapiens (human). Its description in RNAcentral is "long intergenic non-protein coding RNA 2985". Lineage: Eukaryota; Metazoa; Chordata; Mammalia; Primates; Hominidae. The record is from RNAcentral.
AACUUCCUCUCCCACCUCCCUUCAUCAAGGAGCAGUCUCAUGCCCAGGAGCUAGAAAUGUAGGCUUUGCCGGCAUUGGUUGAGCUGUGCUGGGCCCUAGGCAGCGAUGACUCAAACUUGACCCUUAACCCCCAGGCAGGCAAGUUUUCACUGGGUCUUACCCGACGUGAGCCCCCACUCCUCCAUAUGGACCUGUUUUGGACCAAUGAGGCAUCCUCUUCUGUAGUCCUCAACACGCGGAGCUCCACCACUCCUGAGCAGUGUGACCUCAGGUGGGGUUGGGGAGAGGCCUCGGGAUGGCAAGGACCAGGGUCUGCGGCCAAGCCUGUGGGUCCUGUCUCCCUCUAGGAUGCCCCUGGGACACUGGUACCCAUGGAUGCACUGGGUGACUUGAGGUGCUUGCUGCAGAGGCAUCGGGGGUCUCUGGCCAGAGGUGACAUCUGAAGCAAUCGGGAUCCUGUUUGGUUUUGCCACAUCCGACCUGCCGCCCAGCUGGGGCAAGACAGCCACGCGCGGCGGAUGCACCGGCCCUGAACUCUUUCUCGAGUAGUCCCCAGAGAUUUCAGGAAGAGAGAGAAGAGGUAAAGAGACCAGAAACAAAGUCUUCUGCAAGCAAAGAACUGCAACAGGCCCCAGCUGUUAGGUUUGAGGGGCGUAUGGGGCAGGCGACUGAACUGCAGAGUUGGAGCCAGAGGUACCAUUGCUGACCCCUGAGCCCAGGAGCCUUGAGAAUACUGACAGUGUUAAUAAUAACUGCAAUCAUCCAACAUAUGAUGCUAGAAUAACUGGACAUCUGUGUGCAAAAAUAUUAAACCUAUACCUUGCACCUUA